UGCACAGACAACCAGGAUGUUGGCUUAGAAGCAGCCACUCAUUUAAAGAGUGCGUAAUAGCUCACUGGUCGAGUGAUCCUGCGCCGAAAAUUUCCGGGGCUAAAACGUACUACCGAAGCUACGGCAUCAUUUAUGAUGGGUAGGGGAGCUUCGUAUGCAGGCUGAAGCAUGACCGUAAGGACAUGUGGACAGUAUACGAGUGAGAAUGUUGGCAUGAGUAGCGAGACGUGGGUGAGAAUCCCACGGGCCGUAAACCCAAGGUUUCCAGGGGAAGGUUCGUCCGCCCUGGGUUAGUCGGGACCUAAGCCGAGGCCGAAAGGCGUAGGUGAUGGACAACAGGUUGAUAUUCCUGUACCGCCAAUAAGCGUUUGAGAGAUGGAGUGACACAGUAGGAUAAGCUAACCGUACUGUUGGUUAUGUACGGCUAAGCAUUGAGGCAGUCUAAAUAGGCAAAUCCGUUUAGACAAUGCUAGGAUGUGAUGGGGAAGCCCUUCGGGGCGAAGUAGCUGAUUUCACACUGUCAAGAAAAGCUUCUAUCGAGUUUAAAGGCGCCCGUACCGUAAACCGACACAGGUGGGUGAGGAGAGUAUCCUAAGGCCAGCGAGAGAACUAUUGUUAAGGAACUCGGCAAAAUGACCCCGUAACUUAGGGAGAAGGGGUGCCUGUCUAUGACAGGCCGCAGAGAAUAGGCCCAAGCGACUGUUUACCAAAAACACAGGUUUCUGCUAAGUCGCAAGACGAUGUAUAGGAGCUGACGCCUGCCCGGUGCUGGAAGGUUAAGGGGAUCUGUUAGAGCAAUCGAAGCAGUGAACUUAAGCCCCAGUAAACGGCGGCCGUAACUAUAACGGUCCUAAGGUAGCGAAAUUCCUUGUCGGGUAAGUUCCGACCCGCACGAAAGGCGUAACGAUUUGGGCACUGUCUCAACAAUAGACUCGGUGAAAUUGUAAUCCCGGUGAAGAUGCCGGGUACCUGCGACAGGACGGAAAGACCCCAUGGAGCUUUACUGUAGCUUGACGUUGGGUCUUGGUACUACAUGUACAGGAUAGGUGGGAGACUAUGAAGCAUGGACGCCAGUCUGUGUGGAGUCAUCCUUGGGAUACCACCCUUGUAGUACUGGGAUCCUAACCAUAGGCCUUGAAUCAGGUCUUGGAACACCGUCAGGUGGGCAGUUUGACUGGGGCGGUCGCCUCCUAAAAAGUAACGGAGGCGCUCAAAGGUUUCCUCAGCACGGUCGGAAAUCGUGCGAAGAGUGUAAAGGCAAAAGGAAGCUUGAUUGCAAGACAUACAGGUCGAGCAAGGACGAAAGUCGGACUUAGUGAUCCGGUGGUACCGCAUGGAAGGGCCAUCGCUCAACGGAUAAAAGCUACCCUGGGGAUAACAGGCUUAUCUCCCCCAAGAGUCCACAUCGACGGGGAGGUUUGGCACCUCGAUGUCGGCUCAUCACAUCCUGGGGCUGUAGUAGGUCCCAAGGGUUGGGCUGUUCGCCCAUUAAAGUGGUACGCGAGCUGGGUUCAGAACGUCGUGAGACAGUUCGGUCCCUAUCCGUCGCAGGCGUAGGAAAUUUGAGAAGACCUGUCCUUAGUACGAGAGGACCGGGAUGGACGUACCUCUGGUGUACCAGUUGUUCUGCCAAGGGCAUGGCUGGGUAGCUAUGUACGGAAUGGAUAAGCGCUGAAAGCAUCUAAGCGCGAAGCCAACUUCAAGAUAAGAUUUCCCACCGUAAGGGUAAGACCCCAGGAAGACUACCUGGUUGA
RNAcentral lists this ribosomal RNA (1754 nucleotides) under human gut metagenome. Its description in RNAcentral is "bacterial LSU rRNA". It matches the Rfam family "Bacterial large subunit ribosomal RNA", at positions 1082 to 2856 of the family's 2925-position model. The record is from RNAcentral.